GAAUGAAUCUAACAGUGCUAUGGACUCUACCUAACAUGAGUAAAAGAAGCUAAAGAAAGUGAAUGGGGAAUCAGCCCAUGAGGAUGAACUGAAAACGCAGCUGUUUUUCAAAAACUUGGGUUCUGGAACUCAUCAGUGAAGAGCAGUGGCUUCUCUUCCAGAGGACCUGAGUUUGGUGCCAAGCACCCACAUAGCAGGUUGCACACAUUCAUAGCUCCAGGUCCAGGGAAUCUGAGGGCCUCUGCUGGUCUUCUAGGACACCAGACACACAAGUGGCACAGAAUCAGCCAUACAUGAAGAAAGCCACAAGGAAAUCUUUGCCAACUCUUGCUCUCCUGAAAUGCUGCUGGAAGGAAGGCAAAUGAGAGCUCUCCCCGAAACAGAAGCACAGCUGCAAGUGAGGUGUCUGGCCAAGCCCUGGUCCUUUCUCUGGCUGCUUCCUGAAUUCAGCUUCCUUCUUCUGAAUAGCGCUGAUAAAUUAGCAUGGGGAGAGCAUGUGCUGGACUCUGGGCUUGUGCCUCCAGGGCUUGCAGCCAUAGCCUUCAGGAGCCAUGCUGUGUGGGCCAUUAAAC
RNAcentral lists this long non-coding RNA (572 nucleotides) under Mus caroli (Ryukyu mouse). RNAcentral describes it as "lncRNA (MGP_CAROLIEiJ_G0006283.1)". The record is from RNAcentral. Lineage: Eukaryota; Metazoa; Chordata; Mammalia; Rodentia; Muridae.